This 583-nucleotide ribosomal RNA is filed under the name uncultured Nocardia sp. Its description in RNAcentral is "bacterial SSU rRNA". It matches the Rfam family "Bacterial small subunit ribosomal RNA", at positions 790 to 1368 of the family's 1533-position model. The record is from RNAcentral. Lineage: Bacteria; Bacillati; Actinomycetota; Actinomycetes; Mycobacteriales; Nocardiaceae.
GUAGUCCACGCCGUAAACGGUGGGUACUAGGUGUGGGUUACCUUCCACGGGCUCGGGGCCGUAGCUAACGCAUUAAUUACCCCGCCGGGGGAGUCCGGCCGCAAGGUUAAAACUCAAAGGAAUUGACGGGGGCCCGCACAAGCGGGGAACCUUGUGGAUUAAUUCGAUGCAACGCGAAAAACCUUACCUGGGUUGGACUUACGCCGGAUACCUGCAGAGAUGUUGGCCCCCUUGUGGUCGGUGUACCAGUGGUGCAUGGGUGUCGUCAGCUCGUGUCGUGAGAUGUUGGGUUAAGUCCCGCAACGAGCGCAACCCUUGUCCUGUGUUGCCAGCAAGUAAAGUUGGGGACUCGCAGGAAACUGCCGGGGUCAACUCGGAAGGGGUGGGGACGACGUCAAGUCAUCAUGCCCCCCUAUGUCCAGGGCUUCACACAUGCUACAAUGUGCGGUACAGAGGGCUGUGAUAACGUGAGGUGGAGCGAAUCCCUUAAAGCCGGUCUCAGUUCCGAGAUUGGGUCUGCAACUCGACACUGUGAAGUUGGAGUCGCUAGUAAUCGCAGAUAUCGCAACGCUGCGGGUGAAUA